GACGAACGCUGGCGGCGUGCCUAACACAUGCAAGUCGAACGAGGUCCAUCCUUCGGGAGAAGACCUAGUGGCGAACGGGUGAGUAACACGUGAAGAACCUGCCCCGAAGACCGGGAUAACCCUCCGAAAGGAGAGCUAAUACCGGAUACCCCCACCGAACCGCAUGGUUUGGUGAGGAAAUGGAUUCCGCUUCGGGAGGGCUUCGCGGCCUAUCAGCUAGUUGGUGGGGUAACGGCCCACAAGGCAUCGACGGGUAGCUGGUCUGAGAGGACGAUCAGCCACACUGGGACUGAGACACGGCCCAGACUCCUACGGGAGGCAGCAGUGGGGAAGUCUUGCGCAAUGGGCGAAAGACCUGACGCAGCAACACCGCGUGGGGGA
Molecule: ribosomal RNA, 381 nt
Filed under: uncultured bacterium
Lineage: Bacteria
Description: bacterial SSU rRNA
Rfam family: Bacterial small subunit ribosomal RNA
Source: RNAcentral